UGUCUAUUAAUUGUAGACCUGUAUGAAAGGNAAAAUGAGGGCCUAACUGUCUCUUAUAAUCAAUCAAUUAAACUGAUCUCCCAGUACAAAAGCUGGGAUACAACCAUAAGACCAGAAGACCCUGUGAAGCUUAAACUAAACUAUUAAUCCAAAUAAUAACUACUUUCGGUUGGGGCGACCUUGGAAAGAAAAAGAACUUCCAACUAAAACAAAACCACAACAGGCCAACAAGCCAACAACGACCCAGCAACGCUGAUUAACGAAACAAGUUACUCCAGGGAUAACAGCGCCAUCUUCUUCAAGAGCCCAUAUCAAAAAGAAGGUUUACGACCUCGAUGUUGGAUCAGGACAUCCUAAUGGUGCAGAAGCUAUUAAGGGUUCGUUUGNNCAACGAUUAACAGU
This 402-nucleotide ribosomal RNA is filed under the name Rhamphiophis oxyrhynchus. RNAcentral's name for it is "partial 16S ribosomal RNA". It matches the Rfam family "Bacterial large subunit ribosomal RNA", at positions 1970 to 2594 of the family's 2925-position model. The record is from RNAcentral. Lineage: Eukaryota; Metazoa; Chordata; Lepidosauria; Squamata.